RNAcentral lists this ribosomal RNA (253 nucleotides) under uncultured bacterium. RNAcentral's name for it is "partial 16S ribosomal RNA". It matches the Rfam family "Bacterial small subunit ribosomal RNA", at positions 524 to 776 of the family's 1533-position model. The record is from RNAcentral.
UACGAGUGCCCCAAGCGUUAUCCGGAAUCAUUGGGCGUAAAGGGUGUGUAGGUGGCGUUGUUAGUCUUCUGUUAAAAUCUUGGGCUUAACCCAAGACUUGCAGUGGAAACGGCAAUGCUCGAGGAUGCGAGGGGUGAAUGGAACUCAUGGAGUAGAGGUGAAAUCCGUUGAUAUCAUGGGGAACACCAAAAGCGAAGGCAAUUCACUGGCGCAUUCCUGACACUGAAACACGAAAGCGUGGGUAGCGAACGGG